AGAUUAUGUGAAAUCAAAACACAUCUCCCUGGAAGUUCCCCUUGUGGCUCAGUGGUAAUGAACCUGACUAGUAUCCUUGAGGAUGCAGGUUCAAUCCCUGGCCUCGCUCAUGACAACACACAUACUUUACCAGGCUGGCUUGAAUAUUAUAAGCAAUAAUCCAUGUGAUGCACCUGUCACAGUGCAAGGCAUGCUUUGAGUGCAUAAAUAAGCUUUAGGCAUUAUUACUGUUUUCUGUGACGCUCUGGAGCAGGACAUGCAACGGUCUGUAAACUACGAGAGAGGACAACUUCUCCUCCUUCCCAAAGGGACUCAGCAAAAUUGGGAGCUCGCCCCAGCAAGAUUGGGAGCAACUGCUGUGGGAUGCAAAUCAAGAAAUCUUUAAAAGAGGAGAGUGAGUGAGCUUAUGCAGAAAAAUUACACAGGGCUGUCUGAUGGCUGGUAAGAGCACUCUCAAAGGUCCCCAGACCAAAGCAUAUUGUGAUUCCAAAGAACACUGUGAUUCCAAGAACACUUAGCAAAGAAUACUGAGGUUUUAUAUAUUUCUCCUAACCAGAUCCACUGUUUCUCCUUGUUCAAAUUCCCUCCGUGACCUCUUCCCCUCUGGAACUUCCUCAACAGACAUGGAUACCAGGUUGAGACAGAGAGAGUCAAGGAUGUCUCCUUCAUAGAGUAAGAAGACGCCCUGAAGAACAAGGCUGGGCUGAUGCACAGGAGAGGGUAGGCAGGGUGACCCUAGGGUCACAGGAGCACAGUAGUAAAAUCACAGAGACCAACUGAGCACACAUUCUUCCAGCAGCUGCUUCCUAACAAAGGUUAUCCUGAGACAUGUGUAAUCAAGAAUCAAUAAAAGGAAAAGGUGGUGGUGGGUAGUUAGUUAUUCCUCAAGAAGCAAAAAAAAAAAAAAAAAAAAAACCACAAAUGUGAAUAGAAUAUGUGCAUGCACAUAAGAAGAAUUAAAGCCAUGCUUGGUACACUUAGAGAAAAUUACAUUCCUGGCUUCAGACAUGUAUACUCUGCUGUGCUCAGAAACUCAAGAGUGAGAAGUAUUCUGUCAAUGACCCCAGCUCUUGAAAAUACAAGUGCCAUACAGAAAGAGAACACCGUACACUCGAUAAAGAGGAGGGCUGGAGAGAGAUAUUAUCUUCAUCCAAAGGGCUAGCUGCACUUUCCUUCCUAAAAGCAAAUCAAAACCAUUCAUCUAUCAUAACUGUUCUUCAGACUGCAUGUCUGGCCCACACCUGAAAUUUUCUUUAUUCUUUGAGGAGAAGACACAGAUGCACAGGGCUGCCCCACCAGAAAAGUUAAAUAAAAAACUAAGCUUAGCUCACUCCUUAGCUAACAGCAGGCAUAGCCCAGAUAGGGGAAUAAAUGAAAAGCUAACAAGCCCCCUAAGCUCUAUCAAGAAGGAAGUUCCCAGGUCAGAAUGGCUCAGCCCCUUGGAUAUAGGAAUGUCUCAACUGGAUGAUGCCUCACUUUCUGCUUGUGAACCAAUUAACUCAGAGGAUCUCAAUGAUGGACUCUCAGUUCCUAGCUGAGGCACUCUGCAACUUAUUUUUAAAGGCGCCUGGAAAAAAAUGUUCCUGCAUCUCUGGAGACCAAUCUGUAGGUAAUAAUCACUUGUGAGUCAAAGUUUUUCACGUCUAACCAAACUAUCUUUAACAAAGAUGAAAGUCUAAUUAUUUUUUUUUUUUCACAGUUCUUUCUACCAGUCCUCACGGUGAAUGCAGUAAGCAUACAUCCAGAGGUAGUCCCAAUUUCUUGCACUUUUUUCUUCUUCCAAAAGAGAGUAAAUCUAUAAUAAAAUUUGACGCAAUUUAUAGGCCUUUGUAAAACUUUGCCUGUCCUUAUAUUCACAAACUGGGGAAAAAAUUCUGUGACAAAAAGGAUGUUUGGCUUCAGAAAAACAUGGUCACUGCAUCUGUAGAAACAGGCAAGAGCCAACUCAAACUUAGAAUAAACCUACAAGCAUACCCAGAAAAAUCACAAAGAUGCUUCCAGCUCCCAAGUUCCAAGAUUCUUUAUUUUCUUCACAACAUUUAGUACAGUGUGUCAACCAUGCUACAGACUC
RNAcentral lists this long non-coding RNA (2071 nucleotides) under Sus scrofa (pig). RNAcentral's name for it is "lncRNA (ENSSSCG00030070005.1)". The record is from RNAcentral. Lineage: Eukaryota; Metazoa; Chordata; Mammalia; Artiodactyla; Suidae.